RNAcentral lists this ribosomal RNA (579 nucleotides) under uncultured bacterium. RNAcentral describes it as "bacterial SSU rRNA". It matches the Rfam family "Bacterial small subunit ribosomal RNA", at positions 338 to 916 of the family's 1533-position model. The record is from RNAcentral.
CCUACGGGAGGCAGCAGUAAGGAAUAUUGGUCAAUGGGCGCAAGCCUGAACCAGCCAUGCCGCGUGCAGGAUGACGGCCCUCUGGGUUGUAAACUGCUUUUAUACGGGAAGAACAGCAUCUACGUGUAGGUGUUUGACGGUACUGUAAGAAUAAGGACCGGCUAACUUCGUGCCAGCAGCCGCGGUAAUACGAAGGGUCCAAGCGUUAUCCGGAUUUAUUGGGUUUAAAGGGUGCGUAGGCGGCUUUUUAAGUCAGUGGUGAAAGCCUGAUGCUCAACAUCAGAACUGCCAUUGAUACUGAAGAGCUUGAGUACAGUUGAGGUUGGCGGAAUGUGUCAUGUAGCGGUGAAAUGCUUAGAUAUGACACAGAACACCGAUUGCGAAGGCAGCUAGCUAAGCUGUUACUGACGCUGAUGCACGAAAGCGUGGGGAGCAAACAGGAUUAGAUACCCUGGUAGUCCACGCCCUAAACGUUGAUAACUCGUUGUUAGCGAUAUACUGUUAGCGACCAAGCGAAAGCAUUAAGUUAUCCACCUGGGAAGUACGGUCGCAAGAUUGAAACUUCAAAGGAAUUGACGG